AGAGCGAACGCUGGCGGCAGGCCUAACACAUGCAAGUCGAACGCCGUAGCAAUACGGAGUGGCAGACGGGAUAGUAACACGUGGGAACGCGCCCUUCGGUUCGGAAUAACUCAGGGAAACUUGAGCUAAAUACCGGAUACGCCCUUACGGGGAAAGAUUUAUUGCCGAAGGAACGGCCCGCGUCGGAUUAGCUAGUUGGUGAGGUAAUGGCUCACCAAGGCGACGAUCCGUAGCUGGUCUGAGAGGAUGACCAGCAUCACUGGGACUGAGACACGGCCCAGACUCCUACGGGAGGCAGCAGUGGGGAAUAUUGGACAAUGGGCGCAAGCCUGAUCCAGCCAUGCCGCGUGGAUGAUGACGGCCCUAGGGUUGUAAAGUCCUUUUAACGGGGAGAUAAUGACGUACCGUAGAAUAAGCCCGGCUAACUUCGUGCCAGCAGCCGC
This 443-nucleotide ribosomal RNA is filed under the name uncultured bacterium. RNAcentral's name for it is "SSU rRNA". It matches the Rfam family "Bacterial small subunit ribosomal RNA", at positions 26 to 518 of the family's 1533-position model. The record is from RNAcentral.